Molecule: ribosomal RNA, 798 nt
Filed under: uncultured Glomeromycotina
Lineage: Eukaryota; Fungi; Glomeromycota
Description: SSU rRNA
Rfam family: Eukaryotic small subunit ribosomal RNA
Source: RNAcentral
AUCAACUUUCGAUGGUAGGAUAGAGGCCUACCAUGGUAGUAACGGGUAACGGGGUGUUAGGGCACGACACCGGAGAGGGAGCCUGAGAAACGGCUACCACAUCCAAGGAUGGCAGCAGGCGCGCAAAUUACCCAGUCCCAACACGGGGAGGUAGUGACAAUAAAUAACAAUACGGGGUUCUUAUGGAUUUCGUAAUUGGAAUGAGUACAAUUUAAAUCUCUCAACGAGGAACAAUUGGAGGGCAAGUCUGGUGCCAGCAGCCGCGGUAAUUCCAGCUCCAAUAGCGUAUAUUAAAGUUGUUGCAGUUAAAAAGCUCGUAGUUGAAUUCCGGGAUCAAUUUGCUGGUCGUGCCUCUGGUACGUACUGGUAUUAUUGGUUUCUCCCUUCUGACGAACCAUGAUGUCAUUAAUUUGAUGUCGUGGAGAAUCAGGACUGUUACUUUGAAAAAAUUAGAGUGUUUAAAGCAGGCAUUAGCUUGAAUACAUUAGCAUGGAAUAAUGAAAUAGGACGUUUGAUCCUAUUUUGUUGGUUUCUAGGAUUGACGUAAUGAUUAAUAGGGAUAGUUGGGGGCAUUAGUAUUCAAUUGUCAGAGGUGAAAUUCUUGGAUUUAUUGAAGACUGACUACUGCGAAAGCAUUUGCCAAGGACGUUUUCAUUAAUCAAGAACGAAAGUUAGGGGAUCGAAGACGAUCAGAUACCGUCGUAGUCUUAACCAUAAACUAUGCCGACUAGGGAUCGGAUGAUGUUAAUUUUUAAUGACUCAUUCGGCGCCUUACGGGAAACCAAAGUGUUUGGGUUC